This 440-nucleotide ribosomal RNA is filed under the name uncultured bacterium. RNAcentral's name for it is "partial 16S ribosomal RNA". It matches the Rfam family "Bacterial small subunit ribosomal RNA", at positions 338 to 795 of the family's 1533-position model. The record is from RNAcentral.
CCUACGGGUGGCAGCAGUAGGGAAUAUUGCUCAAUGGGGGAAACCCUGAAGCAGCAACGCCGCGUGGAGGAUGAAGGUUUUCGGUUCGUAAACUCCUUUUGUUAGAGAAGAUAAUGACGGUACCUAACGAAUAAGCACCGGCUAACUCCGUGCCAGCAGCCGCGGUAAUACGGAGGGUGCAAGCGUUACUCGGAUUCACUGGGCGUAAAGGGCGCGUAGGCGGGAUAGCAAGUCAGAUGUGAAAUCCUAUGGCUUAACCAUAGAACUGCAUUUGAAACUGUUAUUCUAGAGUUUGGGAGAGGUAGGUGGAAUUCUUGGUGUAGGGGUGAAAUCCGUAGAGAUCAAGAGGAAUACUCAUUGCGAAGGCGACCUGCUAGAACAUAACUGACGCUGAGGCGCGAAAGCGUGGGGAGCAAACAGGAUUAGAUACCCUUGUAGUC